Molecule: ribosomal RNA, 429 nt
Filed under: Gemmatimonadota bacterium
Lineage: Bacteria; Pseudomonadati; Gemmatimonadota
Description: Gemmatimonadetes bacterium partial 16S ribosomal RNA
Rfam family: Bacterial small subunit ribosomal RNA
Source: RNAcentral
UAGGGAAUCUUCGGCAAUGGACGAAAGUCUGACCGAGCAACGCCGCGUGAGUGAAGAAGGUUUUCGGAUCGUAAAACUCUGUUGUUAGAGAAGAACAAGGACGUUAGUAACUGAACGUCCCCUGACGGUAUCUAACCAGAAAGCCACGGCUAACUACGUGCCAGCAGCCGCGGUAAUACGUAGGUGGCAAGCGUUGUCCGGAUUUAUUGGGCGUAAAGCGAGCGCAGGCGGUUUCUUAAGUCUGAUGUGAAAGCCCCCGGCUCAACCGGGGAGGGUCAUUGGAAACUGGGAGACUUGAGUGCAGAAGAGGAGAGUGGAAUUCCAUGUGUAGCGGUGAAAUGCGUAGAUAUAUGGAGGAACACCAGUGGCGAAGGCGGCUCGCUGGUCUGUAAUUGACGCUGAGGCUCGAAAGCGUGGGGAGAAAACAGG